This 392-nucleotide small RNA is filed under the name Pan troglodytes (chimpanzee). RNAcentral describes it as "processed transcript". The record is from RNAcentral. Lineage: Eukaryota; Metazoa; Chordata; Mammalia; Primates; Hominidae.
GCCUUCGACGUGGCGUUUUCUUCGGUUUCACUUCCGGUGGGAAGGAUAUGUGCAAGAUAAAGCAGCCAGGGAUUUAAGUCUGGCAACAGUUGGACUGCUGGAUUUUCAGAGAAGUGUUCCCCAAAGCAAAUUAUGGUGCUAAUUUCCAAUAUUCCAUAAGCGUGGCAAGAAAAAUGGGAAGUUCUCGUGGCAUUGGCUCAGUGAUUUCCAUGAGCAUCUCUACCAGAAAACAUUGCCUCGAUGAGGUGUGGUGGAAGCCCGGCAGCCCCUUCUAAUCGGCUAGGCUUGAGAAAGCGUGUACCUCUGCAUUUCCGAAAUUAACUCAGCGUGAUCGGCAAGAUUUUCCUGAGCAUCUGGUGUCAAGACACUCGUCACUAUUAAUUCGGAAAGAA